Molecule: ribosomal RNA, 408 nt
Filed under: uncultured bacterium
Lineage: Bacteria
Description: partial 16S ribosomal RNA
Rfam family: Bacterial small subunit ribosomal RNA
Source: RNAcentral
AGUGAACGCUGGCGGCGUGCCUAAUACAUGCAAGUCGAACGGAGUGGCGCACGGGUGAGUAAUGUAUAGCUAAUCUGCCCUUCACUAGAGGACAACAGUUGGAACCGACUGCUAAUACUCUAUAGUGUAGUAUGAGGGUAGAUUGUAUCAGCUAGUUGGUGAGGUAAUGCCUCACCAAGGCGAUGACGCAUAACUGGUCUGAGAGGAUGAGCAGUCGACCUGUAAGGGAGAAACGGGCGGGAAACCUACGGGAGGGGGCAGUAGGGAAUAGUGCUCAGUGGGGGAAACCCUGAAGCAGCAACGCCGCGUAGAGGAUGACACGUUUCGGAGCGUAAGCUCCUUUUGUUAGGGAAUCGGUACCUAACGAAUAAGCACCGGCUAACUACGUGCCAGCAGCCGCGGUAAUUC